UUCUGAUGCUUCCUCAUCAGUCUCUGUGACUUCUACACCCUCUCUGAGAACCUCAGUGGCUCCAAUCUCCUUCUCCUCCUCUGCAGUCUCUGGCCCUGCCCUGUCCCUUCACUCUUAACUUCACCAUCACAACUUGCGCUACAUGGAGGACAUGCAGCCUCUGGGCUCAGAGAAGUUCAACAAAAUAGAGAAGGUCUUGCAGUGCCUUCUCAGACCCUUGUUCAGGAACACCAGUGU
Long non-coding RNA from Diceros bicornis minor, 237 nucleotides. RefSeq lists it as uncharacterized. Lineage: Eukaryota; Metazoa; Chordata; Mammalia; Perissodactyla; Rhinocerotidae. The transcript is spliced from 3 exons. The record is from RefSeq and is a predicted model, not a curated record.